This 628-nucleotide ribosomal RNA is filed under the name Trechisibus antarcticus. RNAcentral describes it as "partial 16S ribosomal RNA". The stretch from base 385 to 543 matches the Rfam family "Bacterial large subunit ribosomal RNA", at positions 2473 to 2632 of the family's 2925-position model. The record is from RNAcentral. Lineage: Eukaryota; Metazoa; Arthropoda; Insecta; Coleoptera; Carabidae.
GUCUUUUUGAUUUAUAUAUAAAGUUUGACCUGCCCACUGAAAAUUUUAAAUGGCUGCAGUAAUUUGACUGUACAAAGGUAGCAUAAUCAUUAGUUUUUUAAUUAAAAGCUUGUAUGAAAGGUUGGACGAAGUAAAAUCUGUCUCUUUUUAAUAUAAUUAGAAUUUAAUUUUUAAGUAAAAAAGCUUAAAUUUUUAUAAAAGACGAGAAGACCCUAUAGAGUUUAAUAAUUUUAAUAAAAUAUUUAAUUAAGAUUUAUUAAUUUUAUUUAAUUAAAAUUAUUUUAUUGGGGUAAUAAAAAGAUUAAAAAAAUUCUUUUUUUUUAAUACAUUAAUUUAUGAAUAUAUGAUCCAUUUGUAGUGAUUAAAAGAUUAAAUUACCUUAGGGAUAACAGCGUAAUUUUUUUAAAGAGUUCUUAUCGAUAAAAAAGUUUGCGACCUCGAUGUUGGAUUAAAGAUUAAUUUAGGUGUAGAAGUUUAAAUUUUUGGUCUGUUCGACCAUUAAAUCUUUACAUGAUCUGAGUUCAAACCGGUGUAAGCCAGGUUGGUUUCUAUCUUUAUUAAUUUUUUAUAUUUUAGUACGAAAGGACCAAAUAUAAAAUAUAUAAAUAUUUUUAUUUUGAAUAUUAUU